CGUCCAUCUGUGUCAAUAUUGAGGAAAAGUUCAAGGUAUGAAGCAGUCCUUCUAGUAGCAGUAGUAUCCUUAAUUUCAAGUUCACUGGGAUAUAUGAGAUGUAAGAUAUUGGCUGAAAAUAUGGUUAUUCAAUGAUAGAACAUCAUCAAUAUAUCGGAAAGUAAAAUUAAAGAAUUUCGCAAGGUGCUUUUUCUUUUUGUCUUUUAGAAUAUUUUUUGUAUAUGUCUGUCCGGUAGGGUUCAUCAUGAUCUGAUAGUGACAUAAUUUCAUCAUAUAAGGAAAUAUUAAGAUCGAUCUGGUAUCUCAAUAUUUGAAAAUAUCAUAAAAUUUAGUGUUGACCAACUAUCCAGCUCGAUCAUAGAUUUGUCUGUUUUCAUUGGCACUCAUAACACAUCUUAUAUGCAUUUGCACUCCAGGUAACAG
Molecule: long non-coding RNA, 423 nt
Filed under: Mytilus galloprovincialis (Mediterranean mussel)
Lineage: Eukaryota; Metazoa; Mollusca; Bivalvia; Mytilida; Mytilidae
Source: RNAcentral